RNAcentral lists this long non-coding RNA (618 nucleotides) under Solanum tuberosum (potato). Its description in RNAcentral is "long non-coding RNA (STUB_LNC006110)". Lineage: Eukaryota; Viridiplantae; Streptophyta; Magnoliopsida; Solanales; Solanaceae. The record is from RNAcentral.
GAAAACCAUGGAAAACCAGGGUGAAAAUUCCAGCAGAGACAAAGUGCUAGGUGAUUUCUUCGGUACUUAAAAUGGUGGGAGGUAGCAAGUACCCGAUGAAAUAAGGAAGGUGUGCGCGGCAGGUGGCCCAGACACUGCGGCUUUUUAGAAAUGAAAUGAUCUUGCUGAUAAUCUUAAAGUUCUUUGAACCAAUAAAUAUGAGAAAAAUUACCUUAUUUUCCAACUGUUUGGAAAACUAGAAUUGUCUUCCUUGCGACCCUGUUCUACUAUAAUUAUUUGAUACUAGUGGUAGAUGUAGUUGUCUUCCAAGUGAAAGCAAUCAUAAGUGAAGAACAUCUCGACACUUUUACUUCCAAGUACACAGAAUAAGAAGUUGGCAGUACUCUAUAGAAAAUGCCAUGCUAGUAUAUGCAUUAUGUAAUCAUAUUUUAUUUGUUAAUAUCAAUGUUGACAAGUAUAUUGCUUUUGAUGGUUGCCAGUUAAUAGUGAGAGCUAGAGAUUUGCCUUUAAAUAUUGUCUCAAAUAACUUGUUUUGAUGUAGAAUACUUUUGAAAGAAAGAAACAAGAAUUAUUAGCUUCUCAAAGUGCAUCAGCUGCGGAAGGAGAAACUAAUUUAGC